Molecule: ribosomal RNA, 491 nt
Filed under: uncultured bacterium
Lineage: Bacteria
Description: partial 16S ribosomal RNA
Rfam family: Bacterial small subunit ribosomal RNA
Source: RNAcentral
AGUGAACGCUGGCGGUAGGCCUAACACAUGCAAGUCGAACGGCAGCACAGUAAGAGCUUGCUCUUACGGGUGGCGAGUGGCGGACGGGUGAGGAAUACAUCGGAAUCUACUUUUUCGUGGGGGAUAACGUAGGGAAACUUACGCUAAUACCGCAUACGACCUACGGGUGAAAGCAGGGGAUCUUCGGACCUUGCGCGAUUGAAUGAGCCGAUGUCGGAUUAGCUAGUUGGCGGGGUAAAGGCCCACCAAGGCGACGAUCCGUAGCUGGUCUGAGAGGAUGAUCAGCCACACUUGAACUGAGACACGGUCCAGACUCCUACGGGAGGCAGCAGUGGGGAAUAUUGGACAAUGGGCGCAAGCCUGAUCCAGCCAUACCGCGUGGGUGAAGAAGGCCUUCGGGUUGUAAAGCCCUUUUGUUGGGAAAGAAAAGCAGCAGGUUAAUACCCCGCUGUUCUGACGGUACCCAAAGAAUAAGCACCGGCUAACUGCGU